CAGAAUUUGAAAGAAUGUACCAUGGAUGGAAACAAGACGUGUUCCUGAAGAAAUGUUUUAUUCAACAAAACUUGCCCAACUUGCCCAACUUGAGCAUUUCCCAGCUCUAGUCCAACGUGAAAUUGGAGAAGCCUUAGCAGAGUGUGUAGAGAUCUUCCAGGACAUGCAGCCUUGCUGCAUCGCAAGGGCCUGAGGAGAGAGACGAGGAUGAGGAGGAGCUGUGAGCCUGACUGGCUUUAUUCCAGGGAGGCUGUGAUCAGUUGUGGAGAGAAAGGAGGGGCAUCCUUCCUUUAGGGCUGGCAGGCUCUUUCUGUGCUUCA
Hirundo rustica (Barn swallow) is the source of this 320-nucleotide long non-coding RNA. RefSeq lists it as uncharacterized. The transcript is spliced from 3 exons. Lineage: Eukaryota; Metazoa; Chordata; Aves; Passeriformes; Hirundinidae. The record is from RefSeq and is a predicted model, not a curated record.